Long non-coding RNA from Equus caballus (horse), 1930 nucleotides. The record is from Ensembl. NCBI's taxonomy places the organism in Eukaryota, Metazoa, Chordata, Mammalia, Perissodactyla, Equidae.
GGGGGAUGGAGCAGGGCCAAGGGUUCAACUGCCACACUCUCUGUACCUGGUUUCCUGGGGUGAGCCUGCUGUAUGGGCUUCCACACCCCAUUGUUUCCUCUUUACAAGGGAUUCAUGGCCGCACUUCUUCCCUCCUCUGCCUCAUUUUUAAGCCCCACUUCCCUUGAUCAAUGAGGAGUGGGACUUCCUAUUGGAAGUCAGGAUUUGGGGUCCACUCUCAGCUUCAUGGCCUGCUUUUGGUGUCCCGUUAUAAUCAUUUAUUCAGUCCACAAAUGUCCACUGAGCGCCUACUGUAUGCUACUCUGAGUUUUCAGAUCCUAGUUGUUCCGUAUAGAGGGCAUCACCCAGGAGCCUUCCAAAGGAAAUGAGUUUUGUCCAAAAGCUAGCUUCCAGACUCUCUCUGCCCCCAACUGUGUGGCCUGUGUGUCCCCUCUCUGGCCUUCUGCUUUCUUUUUUUUUGUUUUGUUUUGUUUUCCCUAGGAAGAUUAGCCCUGAGCUAACUACCGCCAGUCCUCCUCUUUUUUGCUGAGGAAGACUGGCCCUGAGCCAACACCCGUGCCCAUCUUCCUCUACUUUGUAUGUGGGACACCUACCACAGCAUGGCAUGCCAAGCGGUGCCAUGUCUGCACCCGGGAUCCAAACCCGCGAAUCCCGGGCCACCAAGAAGGGGAACGUGCGCACUUAACCGCUGCGCCACCGGGCCAGCCCCAUGGCUUCUGCUUUCUUAUCUGCAAAGCUGGGCGCUGGGGAAAAUGAGGUCCUGGACCCCCCCCCUCAGCUCUGACACACUGUGGUUCGGUCUUAGAGCGUGUCUCCAGCUGUGAGGCAGCCCAUGAGCAUCAUGCACAGUGACCACAAUGCUCCAAAUGCUGGGCUGUGACGAGUCUACAGUCACACAGUUGCACAUCGAAAUCCUCCCCCUUCGGGCUGUCGAGGGCACCCAGGGCGGAGGAGGAUCUGGGGCUUUCUAGGCCUGUGAGGACUCUGGGCUCUGAGUUCCUGUGAGCUUGCCCAAUCCUGCUGCUGUGACAGAAAAUCUCUUCUGGGGUGUUGGGGACUCCUAAGCCCGCCCACCACAGAUAGUCAAGCUGUGGACUCUGAAAGGGAAGGGCAGGGAGGCCAUGGCUGAUCCCAGGACUGCAGGAAAAGUAGAAAACUGAAACAUCUUGCAAUGCCAGAAAGUAGGAGGUGCUCUAAGAAAUGAUGGGGGUGCAUGUAAGGCCACGGGAACUAUCUGGAAGGACUCCUGAUGGCCAAAUCUGGAAAAGUUUGAACAAUAAAAUAAAUAAUGAUCUAAUAGGUCACGACCCACUUAAUAAAACAAGAAUUCAUAAGUCCUUUCUGAAUAAAUAGGAAAACUCUUCCUUUUAGUAGACUUCCAACUAAUAGAUGGAGAAGGAGAGAAGAAAUCGAAAAUCCCUACUUGCCAAGUACCACCAUAAUAAUUGUUUUAAGCAGAGAUCACCAAGAAAUGCUAACAUUUUAGAUGUCAGAAGAGGCUACUGGGAACAGGCUUGCCAGCAAUAGAGAAGACUCAGGAGCCCUAGAAGCCAGUAUUUAUUGAGCAUGUUCUAGAAACUAAUGUCCAGAGAAUAUCAAGAAACUGAAGCUUCCCCUGCCCAACUCGUUGGCUUCCUGACAUCAGAGUCUCCCUUCCACCACGGAGACAAACAGCCAAGGACGCUCAUCUGAGAAAUCCUUCGUCUCCUCCACUGGAAGCAGCCCCAGACACAGGCCAAUGGGAAAGUGCUGACCAAGGAGUCCAUGGCCCAUCUCCCCUACCUAAAACCCCAAGUAAAAACCUCUACCCGUUUCCUAAUGGGGUGCUAGAAAAUUUUGAGGCACUAGCCCUUGCUUUGCUCCCUCUGCCUGGAAAAGUAAAGCCUUUCCUUUUUCACCCAAGAGUCUGUUCUCAUUAUUUAAAUCGGUG